CAGCCUUGAAGUGCUUGCACGUCGAAUUGCAAACUCGAAAUCGCCCCAUAUUGUGGCCUGGGCU
Molecule: transfer RNA, 64 nt
Filed under: Strophurus taenicauda
Lineage: Eukaryota; Metazoa; Chordata; Lepidosauria; Squamata; Diplodactylidae
Description: tRNA-Cys
Source: RNAcentral